This 253-nucleotide ribosomal RNA is filed under the name uncultured bacterium. Its description in RNAcentral is "partial 16S ribosomal RNA". It matches the Rfam family "Bacterial small subunit ribosomal RNA", at positions 524 to 776 of the family's 1533-position model. The record is from RNAcentral.
UACGUAGGGUGCGAGCGUUAUUCGGAAUUACUGGGCGUAAAGGGCGCGCAGGCGGCUUCGCAAGUCAGGCGUGAAAUCCCCGGGCUUAACCUGGGAAUGGCGCUUGAAACUACGGAGCUGGAGUAUGGCAGAGGGAGGUGGAAUUCCACGUGUAGCGGUGAAAUGCGUAGAGAUGUGGAGGAACACCGAUGGCGAAGGCAGCCUCCUGGGCCAAUACUGACGCUCAUGCACGAAAGCGUGGGGAGCAAACAGG